UGGGCAUUGAGGGGCUGCAGUGAGGUAUACCUUCCUUCCACGCUUGCUGAAACCCGAUAAGGCUCGAGCAAGGUUAUCCCAGUACUGGGUCGAACCGAGCUCGAUGUCGAAGUCUACGCCAUCUAAUACUGCAUCACCUAAUGGCCGAGACGAUGAUUUUCCUCCCAAGAAGUUGUUCCACAGAUAAUUGGCAACUUUUUGGGCAUCAUAGGAAGAGGACAGAGAGUAAUUUCCAACCCCACCACCUAUAGAGAGCAUGACCUUAGUGCCUCGAUUUUGGCAGUUUCUUAUGCCGUUACUGACGGAGGUGCAGCCAUUGGAAGCAGAGUUGCAAUGGCCUGCAAGGUUGAUUGCAGGGGUCCGGCCAUUGCCGAACUUGUUGAGGAAGGCUAUGUUAACGUAGGAGUAUUUGCCGGUGUUGCAGGUUUGAGUUAGGGUCCCUUCAUUGCCGUUUUGGCCCCAGUAGAUGGCGAUGCCACCGGCAUAAGAGGUCUGGAGGAAAGCUAGGACUGAGAGGGAGAUGAGCAGAGGUAUGGAUUGAGGGGUUCUAGCCAUUCUUGAAAGAGCUGGUGUGGCCUGUGCUUGAUUAAUGUGUGUGGGGGUGAGUCCUUUUUAUAGAGUUCUAGAGUUGAAGGUCGUGACUCCCAAACUUUAACCGAGUCAUGUCUUUUCUCGUUGGCUCUAUAAAUAUUAACAAAUAAUAAGAUUGAGAGAAGCUUCAAGACGAUAUUAAAAUGUUAUGAUAAUUGAGAUGGGCUUCUAGAGACAGAUAAAUGGAAUGGAGGAAGAGUGGGAGACAACCAACAUAGGAUACAAGAUAAAUAUUAACAAAUUACGGGAUUGAGAUAAGCUAGUAAAGAAGAUAUUAAAAUGUUAUGAUAGUGAGAUGAGCUUUCAGAGAUAGAUAAAUGUCGAUGGAGGAGUGGGAGACAAUCAACGUAGGCUAGAAGUUUCCCUUGAAUGUUGGACAUUUUCAGGACCUCACCAGUCUUUUGGCACGAGUCGAACUCCAUAAAAAACUCGAAAAUCCAUUAGCCGUUUGAUAAUAUUUUUACUUCAAGUGGUUUUAAUAAAAAUAUUUUCCUUUAAAGUGUAUUUAUUAGAAUCAUCUAAAUAUUUAUUAAAAAAAACUAUAUUUUUUAAAAUUUUAAAAAUAUUUCUUAAAUUUUAUCCAACACCUAAUAAUGUUUUUUUUAGAAACAUUUUUUAAGGUAAAAAGGCUUCCUAUUUUUUGGCAAAUGUACUCAAGUUUUGUCACAUACGUGUAACUUUCUCAUCUUAUAGUCAAAGGAAUCCAGUUGAGUGCUUGAGAGACUUGGUUGAGCUGGGUGAAGCUGGUAGCUGGUUCCAUUGAAGUCGUCUCCACCGAGCCUUCAAUGCCACUGAAAAUGUGAGGAGUGGCAACUGGUGGGGCGCUUAUCUCUUGACUCUUGUCUUUCCCUAGUCUGAAGGAAACAUGAUUUGUUUAAGAAGAUAAGCAAAGCGAUUUGGUUGAUUGGGAGUCAAUGAUUCUGCUAAACUUCACAUAUAUGUGAAAGAAAGAUGACAAAGACAGGGCCUAGUUACUUGCCGGCCGGAUGCAAGGCAGUCAGCAAAGAGCACCAAAGACAGUUUACUGACGAUAAUGGCAUCAUAGUUCAAAUGGUUUCGAUUUUCAAUAAAUGAAAUGUAACAACCCUGUACAUGAGAUAGCUUUUACGUUCUAAAAAUACAUUUAUAUAGUUUCACAAUAACACCAUGAUAUCGUGUUUAGUAAGAUUGCAAGACCAUUUGGACAAACACCCACUAUAGGAUGGAUCGACUUUAAUAUAAUUUAUAAUGACCCUUACGGGAUGAAUUGACUCUGAUAUAAUUUAUAAUGAUCCAUUUUUUCAUAUGGAGUAGACAAAUUAUAUAGAAAAAAGAGCAAGUCAUUACACGAAAUGCUUAAAACCCGAGAACAGUUGUGUUAAUGGGGUUAAAUCCAAACAACAAACAUAUAGCAAAAGAGCUUUUAUGGUAGCAUAUAAAUAAAUGAAAGAAGAACCUGUUUAACUUGAUUUUCUUAGUAGAUAUGCUAGCAUAAUUUUUAUUAGAUCGAGGAAGAAGAAAACAAAAUUUCUAUAUAUAUGUAUUAUUUUGGGGCUCUUUUUUUCUUUCAUUCUAGUGGUUUGUAACGAUAUGAGUCCAUACUGUGUGCAGGGGAUCACCACCGCCACCGCCACCGCCACCGCCACCGCCACCGCCCAUAUAAUGUUUGUUGUUUGGAGAUAAAAAAAAAAAAGCCCGAACUGACUUAACCAUCGGAGGAGGAUAACUCGGGGCGACAUUGGGUAAGCCUUGAUUUGCAGAUAAAAACGUGCGGCAAGUAGAGGACUGCAGUUUGGGAAAUUCAGCUCCAACAUCCCAUACCAUCAAUUAGUUAUAUAUGAAUUUGUUUGGCUCAAAUUAUGGAAAAAAAAAAUUAUUUUAUUUCGUAGGCUAAUAAUGUAGAUGGUGAUGGACUCUUAAAAUAAUUAUUUAAUAAAAAAAUAAAAUUUAAAAAUAUUCUGAAACAUCUUCACAAUCAUCAAUGGUGGCAGAUGUUUUGUGAACCAACACAUGACUUUAAAUAUUGCUGACUCAGAUAAGGUUAAAAUAAUUUUUGGAUGCCAACAUUUUAUUUUUUAGAAAAUAGAUUUUUAUUUUUUAUUUAUUUUUUAUACUUUUUAAAUAUAUAGGGAUAGAAAUUAAUAUAUUUCAAAUAACUUUGGGGUUAAUCUAGGAAUGAUCUCGAUAAACAUUUUUUUAAUGUAUAAUAAUUUUUAUUAUAAUUUUUUUUUAUAGAAAAAUAGUUAGUGUUUCAUGGCAUAAAAAAAAAGAUUUUAAGAAUAUUUUUUAUAUUAUGUUGCAUAAAAGAAAAAUAAUUUUGGAAGAAACAUCAUUGAGUUAAUUCAAAAAUUACUCUUAGUGAUUAUUUGAAUUUUUAGAAGCAAUUUCUAAAAUAUUGCCUAACAUCUAAUUAUUGUAAGAAAAAAAAUUUUCAGACAUUAAAAAAUAUUUUUAAACUUGUGAUAUCUUGAACGGGUUAAUAACGGUUGGAGUUGGAUUUGGGUACUCAAGUAGGCUUUCCUAACCCAAUCUAACAAAUAAAGAGAUGAGGAGUUUCUCUCACUCUCUCCAAAACAAAAAAAUACCAGUAAAAAAACUCUCUUUAUAAUUUCAUCUUCUUUUUUUUUCUCCAUAAAAGAAGAUUAAAGCAUUUAUGAUGUGAAAUAGAGUGCUUUUAAAAUUUUUGUAAUUUCAUUCAUGACUUGGGGUAGAGAAUUCAUAGGUGAAACAAUAAAUUUAGAUUUGAGGACUUUAGAAGAUAAUUCGAUGCCUUUUUUUUUUUGACAAUAAAUUUUUCAUAUUUUUUCAAUAAAAAGUUUGAAAAAUAUAUAAAAUUUUAAAUAAAUUUUAUUAUAUUUAAUUUUCUCCAUAUUUUUAUAAUAAAUCAAAUAGAAGAACUUAAAUUACUUCUAACUUAUUUUUUGCAUUAGGUUUUGACCAUAUCAUAUGUGUUGGUGCAUGACCAACAAGGAGGUAUCCAACUAGUCUUUGUGUGGUGUAGACGACUUUUUGAACGGAAUGUCCAAAUGGGUUUUCGGAAUAAACCCCUUUGAAGCUUAAGUCAAAGAUAGAAGACUUGAGUAAGAGAUUUUUGGAAAAAGUUACAACAUAUCUUUCCUGUUAUGAAAAAUGAUUAUUUAUCAUUACUCAAAUGUAACAUCUUCUCAGGUGUCUUAAUUGUGUCUUUGACUAUGCGUUGAUGAGCUUUAAUACUUGACAUUUUAUUCUAAUAACAGUUGUGUCAAUCAAUACAUAAUGCAUUUAAUGCUUGUUACAGUUAAUGCUUGACAGACAAGAAUGCAUGGUACCUAACUGUUUGUAUCCGUUUGUACCUUGGGAUGAACGGAUAAUACCACAUGACUUUUGUGUUGAACAUGCCUUGCGUUAGAUGACACUUGGGGAUCAUGCUAGACGAUAAUAAGCGUUUCACAACACUUACAAUGUGAAAAACCCAUGAGUUCAUAAUAGCACAUGAUGCUCUUGUGGUUCAAACCUAUAACCAUGGUUCCAACUCAUGAGUCUAACUUAUGAUACUAAUUUUUGAAUCAAAUCAAGAUAUGCUAAGUCAAUUAUGAUAUUCAACCAUCAUUAUUUGAAUGAUCCAUUUCUAAGCUUAAGAGUGGUAUUAUUAUAACACAAUAAUGUUUUUUUUUAAAUACAUUAUAUGACACAAAUAGAAUAUUAGAUGAUCAAAAUCCAAUCUAAAAUUUUAGCAAAUUUACCACGGAGUAAAAAAGUGACUAGAAAUGGAAAAACAAUCUUAAUAACUAUGAUUAAACACUUGGAUGCAAACAAAUAAAAUAAGGAGAUGGAUGAUGAUUAUUACAAAAAGUUGGUAGAAAAUCACACCUUGUGCACUUAAUCCUCUAAUGGAUAUCAAAUAUAAUAAAAAGUGAGUUUCCUAAAAAGUUGUAUGAUUUUACACCUACUUGAGAAAAUUUGGGUGUUGUUUAGUAUUUUGGAGGUAACAUUUCUUUUUCAUCUUUUAUUUUUUAAUUCUUUAUGAUUUAUCUUGGCUAUUUGUGAUUGGUUAAUAAUUAGUGAACUAAAAGGAAAAUUUUUUCCUUCCAUAGUUUUUUUUAGCCUUUUUGAUGUGACGUAAUUAUUACUAUUUAGAAAUGGUUCCACAUAACACAUAAUAAUAAUAAUAAUAAAAAUAUUAUUAUUAUUGUUUUAUUAUUAAACUCAAUUAAAAAUAAAUUAUUAUUAUAUAAAAUUUUAAUUUUUUAUAAUGGAUGAACUUUUUAUGAUUAAGCUAUUAGAACUCUAUGAGAUCAAUAACAAACACUACUAUAUGUGCUAGUUGUUAUGAAAUAUUGUUUUCUUUAAUAGUUUUCAUUUAUAAAAUACUUAUUAAAAAGUGGACAUUGAUCCUUUUUAUCGGUGGAGGUAAGUGGACAUGGCAUCAUUCCUUUUGGAAGUGGUUUUUGACUUUUUAUAGCACGUGGCCAUAAAAAAAUAUUUUUAAAAUGAAGAGGAUAUGAUUUAAAAAUAUAGGAGAAUCAUUCCAACAGCUGGGUCAAAUCUUCUCACUUUAGAUAUUAUUGUUACGGUAUUUGAGACUGUCGGUGGUGCCGUCGGCGGGCGACGGAUGCCGGACAGGGGAUGUGGCCCGACGGAGAUCGGAGCCGAUGAUGGAAACGAGGAAGAAGACGACUGUGUGGUGGUUCUCACUUCUCAUGGGUAUCUCCAGUGGGAAGAAGGCUUGUUGAGGGCUUCCAAAUGGUAAAAAAAUUAAAAAAAUGGCGGCAGAAAUUUUGGUGCGGGUUAGUGAUAUUUCUAAGAUUUUUUUUUUAAUAAUUUAAUUUUUGUCACUUCGGAUAAAAAAAACAAUAAUAAUUUUUAUAUAAAGUUAAAAGACUUGAUUAUAAAAAACAUUUUAUUUUAUUAAUUUUUUCAAAAUUUAAAGUGAUUUUUAAAAACAUAAAUAAGUUUAUAUUUUUUAUAUAACAGUUUCCGUUUUUAAUAUAAAAAUUGUAACUAAUUUUUAUUUUGAAAAACGAAAAACAAAAAGUGUCAAAACAAUAUCUUAUGAGGAUAAUUUUCUAUUUUUUGUUUUGAGUGAAGUCUUAAAUCCUAUUUGGUAAUUAUUUUGAAAACAAUUUUAAAAAAUAAUUUUUGAGAACUAAUAUUUUAUAAGAAGUCUUUGAGAAGUUGAAAUAUUUUUAAUCUAUUUUAAUAUUUUUAAAUAUAUUUUAAAAAUAAUUUUUAUGUUUAAAGUUUUAUUUUAAGUCAUUAUGCAUAUUUGUACAAUUAUUUUUUAAAACAAUUUAAAAAAUGAAAAUAAUUAAAAAUAAUUAAAAGAUGUUAUUUGAAAACACCCCAUUUUAUCUUCUUAAGAGCAAAAAAUAGAAAAUAAUUUUUUAAUAGUCAAAUAUAUUUUUUAAUUUUUUAUUAUUUUAAAAAAUAAAAUAUUGAAAUCGAAAAUAGUUGCCAAACAUACCUUUCAAUUUUAAAAUUAUUGAAAAUAAUUUUUCUGGAUAUAAUUAUUUUUAAUUUUUAACAAAAAACCGAAAGUUUAUCCAAAUGAUUUUGUUUUUCCAAUUUUAUAAUAAACAAUCAAAUAAAAAAACAUUAAAUUUUUCCUUACCAAUUUCUUUGCCUUGAACUAUUUAGAACCAAGCAUAACCUAUUCUAAACCCAGAUUUGUCCUGCCCCGAUGCAAUAUAAGCCCAUUUGUUACUAGCUCGAUUUAGGCAUGGCCCAUUAUCAGUCCUUAACCCAGCGCAGGCCCCAAUGUAGACUAGUUCCCUGUUGGGCCAAUAUGAUUUGGCCACUCUUUUUCUUAGCCCAUGUUCUUUCAAGUCCAUUAUUAUUUUUAUGUUUACUUUAUUUUUAUUUUUUGAUUUUAAUUUAAUUUUUAUUAUAUUUUUUACCUUUAUUUUAGUCUUAUUGUAAUGUUUUGUGGUGACUAUGAUAUGAUUUUAUUUAUUUAUUUUGGAUAUAUUAUUAAUAUGGAUGACAAUGAGAUGGAUUCAGGAUGGAUCACCUCUGUCCCAAUCUUGUUCUAUUUAUUCAAAAUAAUUAUCAUCUUUGUCCCAUUAAAAAAAAAUUAAACGGGGUGAGAUAGGGUAGAUAUGCAAAUUUCUCAUACCCAUCCCAUCCUAUUUUGUUUAAUUUUUUUUGAAAGACUUUUCUUUAAAAAAAACAUUUGAAAAUUUUUAAUUAUAUUAAAGUAAAUAUGUUUUAUAAAUAAUUAAAAUAUUAUAAUUUUUUUUAUUGAAAAGUAAUUUAUUAUUAUUAUUAUAUAUGUUAAAAAUUAAAAAUUGUUGAAAUUAUUUUUCAUAAUUAAUUUUAUAUAUAAUUGGGGUGAGAAUGAAGUAGGACAAUAUAAUAUUUAAAUCUACCCCAAGUUUUUAAAAAACCUUAUAUCUGCUCUUAAUCUGUUUAUUUAAAUUUUGAACUCACUCAUUAGAGACAAGAAAUACUUGGAAAAACUGUUCCAUUUCUACCUUAAUUAUAAAGCUUGUGGACAAUUUUGAAAACAUUUGAAAACAUAUGACUCAUGUUUUCAAAUGCCAUUUGAAUGCUAACUUCACAUUGUCACAUGAAUGUAUAUUUGGAGGCAUGGAUGAUUUUGGAUGGAUCUGGGAACGACGUACCUCUAGUUAUAGUGGUAAUAUAAUUAGGGGUGACAGAAUUUGUUACGAUAUGUUAAUAUAAUUCAAACUUAACAUAUAUUUCAUGAGUUUAGAUAAAAUACACUCAAAUUUGAAUCAAUUUAUAUAACUUAUUUAAUAAAUAAUUAGUUUUUGAAUCAAUAUGCAUAACAUAAAUAUAAUUUGAAUGAACCUAAUUAAUAAUCUUACUAAUUAACUUUAAAUUAUUUAAUUUAUAUUUAACUCAUUUUAAAUAAAUAGAUUAAUUAUGAAGUUAAAACGUUAAUGAUAUAGAUUUAUACAGGACUAUAUGAGAAUGAGAGAGGUGAGGGGGGAAGUCGUCGGAAGUGGCUGCCGCCGGUGGCGGCCACCGGCUGGCAGUGGUGGUGGCCGCAAGUGAAAGUGAGGGUGGAUGGGUGUGGAAAAGAAAAAGGGGAAGAAAGAAAGAAAAGAAUAAAAAAAAACUGGUAAAAAAGAAAAGGGAGAAAGAGAAGAAGGAGGAGAGAGAGAGCGAAUGGGGACGGCUGGAGAUGGGUUUUGGGUGAUAGGCAUAGGCGGAGAGAACUGAGAAGAGGGAAAAAGAAAAGAAAAGAGAAGAGAGAAAAAGGAAAAGGGGAGAAGAGAAAAAAAGGGGGGACGUGGGAACGGGGCCAGAGUCGGAUUUGAAUGAAUGAAAUAAAAAAAAAAAGAAAAAAAAAAAAGGAAAAAACAAGAAAAAGAAAAAAAAUUAAAAAAACAAAAAAAGAUAAAAUAAAUAAUAAUAAAAUAAAAAGUGAGAAUAAUUUGAAAUAAAUUUUGGGAUUUACAAUCAUUUUAACAAAUUUAUUUAUUUAUAUAUUUAUGUAAAUGAAAUUAGAAUAUCACUAUCUAACUUGUCCAUUUACCAAGUUCAUCAUGCUUUCUAGAUUAAUACAUGUAUAUUAUAUACUAUUAUGAUAUGGUAUCCAUUAGUUAAUUAAUAAAUUAUUUGUUUUUUUGUCAACAUAUUAAUAUAGAUCGAGAUUAGUUUGGGCUUAGUAAUAGCUUGACCAUGGACUGAGUUAUGAUUUUAAUUUUAUUAUUUUAUUUUUAAAAAUUUAAAAAUAAGAUAAAUAAUAAGCCUCCAUGUUUUUCUAAAAAAUAAAAUAAAAGAACCUUUUAAGGGUAUGUUUGGUAUAUGAAAGUUCAAAGAAAAAAAGAGAAACUUUUAAAAUAUAUAUAUAUAUUUAAGAAAAAAAUAUAAUAUUUUUAUUUACUUAUACAAAAUAUAAUAAAUAAUGUUGUUUUUAGGGUGUUAAGAGAAUGUUAUUAAUUAAACCUAAAUUCUAUAAAUUUAAACUUUCCAAAAAUUCUUUUGUUCUAUAACUCUUGUACCUAAACUUUUAGGAAGAUUAAGAAAAUUUUAAAAAUAAUUUUGAAGUACAUGGGUUAAAUCUAUAGUUUUUAAUACAAGAGUAAAUAUAUAAAAUAUUAUUAUGAUUUUAUAUUUGUAAAGAAAAUAAGUGAGACUAAUUGGCAUCCAUUGAAAAUCAUUGGCCCAUUUUAGGUUUGAAACUCCGAGCCUUCUUAGUCCCGCACCCGGCACCGCUCAGGCACCACUAGAGCGAAAUUGAUAUUUAAAAGGAAAGAGAAGGUCAACUCUUUAUAAUUCUUCAUACUAUAUUCUCCAUAAUAUUCUCUUUCACUUUAUCCAUACAUUCAUCGAGGAUGAAAGCUUAUUCAAUAUAUUAUUACAACUGAUAUAGAUAGACUAACACCCAGUUCACACACUGCUCUUAAUGGAAGAGCUGUAUCCACUCUGAUCAUCAUAGUACUUUGACCACAGCAUCACGCCUCCAUACUUGGCUGAUCUCUUAAUGACCGGAAGAAUUUGAGAGGUCAACACAUUGGCCGGAAUAAACCCACUUCCGGCAGCUGCAGAGGAUGCCGGCAGGCCCAUGAAGAUCCGUGAAUUUAUCGAUGAAGUCCACCGGUUCCAUGAAUUCAGAAGGUUAUUGGUGUUGCCAGAAGAAUACUGGCAUGGGGCAUUGUUAUAGAAUUGCACCCAGACAUAGUCAAAAAGGCCUGUGUUAAGGGCAGUGCCCAGGAACUUAUCUGGGAAUGGACAUUGAGGGGCUGCAGUGAGGUAUACCUUCCUUCCACGCUUGCUGAAACCUGAUAAGGCUCGAGCAAGGUCAUCCCAGUGCAGGGUCGAACCGAGCUCGAUGUCGAAGUCUAUGCCAUCUAAUACUGCAUCACCUAAUGGCCGAGACGAUGAUUGUCCUCCCAAGAAGUUGUUCCACAGAUAAUUGGCUACGUUUUGGGCAUCAUUGGAAGAGGACAGAGAGUAACUUCCAACCCCACCACCUAUAGAGAGCAUGACCUUAAUGCCUCGAUUUUGGCAGUUUCUUAUGCCGGUACUGACGGAGGUGCAGCCAUUGGAAGCAGGGUUGCAAUGGCCAGCAAGGUUGAUUUCAGGGGUCUGGCCAUUACCGAACUUGUUGAGGAAGGCUAUGUUAACGUAGGAGUAUUUUCCGGUGUUGCAGGUUUGGGUUAGGGUCCCUUCAUUGCCGUUUUGGCCCCAGUAGAUGGCGAUGCCACCAGCAUAAGAGGUCUGGAGGAGGGCUAGGACUGAGAGGGAGAUGAGCAGAGGUGUGGAUUGGGGGGUUCUAGCCAUUCUUGCAGGAGGCUGUCUGGCCUGUGCUUGAAUAACGUGUAUGUGGGGGUGCGUCCUUUUUAUAGAGUUUUAGAGCAGGGGCUCGUGACUCGCAAACUUUGACUGAGUCAUGUAUUUUUUCGUAUAGGUCUAUAAAUAUUAACAAAUUACGGGAUUGAGAUAAGCUUGUAAAGAAGAUAUUAAAAUGUGUAUGAUAGUGAGAUGAGCUUUCAGAGAUAGAAAAAUGGAGAUGGAGGAGGAGUGGGAGACAAUCAACAUAGGAUGCAAGUCUGUAUCCUGGAAGUUUCCCUAGAAUGCUGGCCAUUAUCAUCACCUCACAUUUCUUUUGGAAUGAUUCUAACGUGCGUGACUUUAGUUCAAAUGACUUUUUGUAAAAAGAAGUGUAUUUGAUAAUGAUUUUAAAAAAUAUUUUAAAAAUUUUUAAUCUUUAAAUGAUAAAUUUUGUUAAGUAUUAAAAGGGUUAGAAGCACUUUAUAAAAUCACUGCAGAACGAACGAACUCUAAAUUGUAAAAAUAUUUUUAGCAUAUUCAUUUAUUAAGUGUUUCUUUGUACACGGGUGAGUUUGACAAUAUUUUUACAUUAAGCGUUUUUGAUAGAAGUGUUUUAUUUGAAAGUGUUUUUAAAAGAAUAAUUUAUUUAAAAAACAUUUUUAAUAUUUCUAAUACUUAAAAAUCAAAUUUUUAACUAUUAAAAAAAUUAAACAUACUUUUAGAAUCAUUAUCAAACCACUUUUAAUUAUAGUGCAUCUAACAAUCAUUUAAAGAAUUAUUUUUAGUUUUUUUAAUUUUAAAAAUAAAAUUUUUUAAGUGUUAAAAAUAUUCAAAACAUUUUUAAAAAUCAUUAUUAAACACAAUUUUAGUAAUUUCUCAAUACUACAUUAUUUUUCAUAUUUUUAAAAAUAUUUUCUAAAUUCCUUUAAACACUUAAUGUUUUUUUUUUAAACAAUUUAGACUAAAACUACCUUCUAGAUAAGUUUUGUCACUUACCUGUGACUUUUUCAUCUUACAGUCAAAGGAAUCAAGUUGAGCAGGGUUGAAGCAGGCUGCUGGUUCCAUUGAAGUCGUCUCCACCGAGCUUUUAAUGCCUCUGAAAAUGUCAAAAGUUGCAACUGGUGCGGGGCCUAUCUCGACUCUGCUUUUCCCUUGUCUGAAGGAAACAUGAUUUGUUUAAGAAGAUAUGAAAAUUGAUUUGGUUGACUGCGAGUCAAUGAGUCUGCUGAGGAAACUUCACAUACAUGUAAAAUAAAGAGGACAAAAAUUACUUGCCGGCCAGAUACAAGGUAGUCAGCAAAGAGCACCAAAUACAGUUUACUUACGAUGAUGACAUCAUAGUUAAAUAAAAUGGUUUUGAUUUUCAAUAUAUGAAAUGUAACAAUUCAAAGCUACCCCAAUCUCAAUUAUUGUUUUUUAUAAUAUUUAUAAUGCAUCUUAACUUAUAUAAUAAUAUUUAUUUAUUUAUUUUUAAAUCAAAUUAUAUUAUAUUAUAUUAUAUUAUAUAUAUUUCAUUUUAAAAAAUAAAUUUAUAUUUAUUCUUUUAUUAUUAUCUUGAAAUUUUAUCUUAUUUGUUAUUUAAAUUUUCGUAUAAAUACAUUAAAAAAGUUUUUUUUUUUAAAAUAGAUUUUGAAUUAUGUAGUCCAACCAACCUAAAUUUAACUUGAUCAAUUUGAGUCUAAUUUGAAUAAUCCGAACUCAAUCUAAGUUUGAACUUGAGUUUGAAUAUCUCAUGUUAGAGUUUAGGUGAGUUAAGUUCGGGUUGAUUAUUUCUUAAUUUGGGUUGGCCUCAGGUUAGUCAUUAAUUUGAUCAACCCGUCCAAAUUGUAACCCUAAUAUAAAGUAAAUUUAUAUAUUUUUUAUAUAAAAUUAUUAUUACUUUUUAUUUUUUAAAAAUAUCCAAAUGAUUUUUUUUGAGGAAAAUGUUGCGAUAAAUCCCCGAUAUAAUGGAAAAAAGGGCCAAAAAAAGAUGAAAAUCACUGGUCAAAUCGUUACAGUGAGCUAUAGUGCACCCUCAAAUUUCUCCUUCUUUUGUGCUGUUGAAAGGGAUUCGGGGUUCAACGCUUCCAACCACUAGGGCAAGCUUGCCCUUUGUUAAAUAGAUUGUACUUAAAAUAUAUAUUCAAAGUCAUCAUGUAAAGAAAUUUUUAAAAGAAUAUUUUAGAGGGCAAAUUAAAUAUAAUUAUUUUAUAAUUAAAUAAAAAAAUUUCUUUUAAUUGAUUACCAAAAAUAUAAAAAUUAUCAUAAUAAUUUUUUUCACAGUGUUUUCAAUAUCAUUAAUGAAUUAAUUAAAUAUUAAAAAAUUGUACAUAUAUUAUAAUUUAUUUUAUAUUAUUUAAUACAAUUGAAUUAAAUGGAUCAUAAUUUUAAUAUUAAUAUAUAUUUUUAAGUUAAACAUAUUAUAAUAAAAUAUCAUAAUAUUAUAUAUAAUUUAAUAAUAAAUGUAUACUUAUAAAAUUCAUAUUUUUAUUGUUGCAUAUGAUAUUAUUAUCAAAUAUGAUAAAUCAUAUUAUACAUAUAUCAAAUUCUUUAAUAAAACAACUUAAAAAUAUCUAUUAUACUUUUAAUUACAUUUUUUAUGAAGUUUUUUUUGUAUUUUUAUAAAUUUUGAUCAAUUUUAGGCUUAUCGAUAUUUUUUUUCAAAAUAUCCACGGAUAUAUCUUCAAUAUAUCCGUAAAAUCGAAAUACCAAUAUAUCCGUGAUUACUGAUAUUUUCAUCCUUGAUUUUUUUUUCAAUUUUUUCAUAAACAUCAAAUAAAAAAACAUUAAUUUUUUUCCUUACCAUUUUCUUUCCCUUGAACUUAACCUAUUCUAUACCCAGAUUUGUUACUUAGCUCAUUUUAGGUCUAUGCCAUCAUAUGGUAUCAGUCCUUAACCCAGUGCAGGGCCCAAUGUAGACUCGUUCCCUCUUGGCCCAAUAUGGUUUGGCCGCUUUUUAACUUUAUUUUAUUUUAUUUUAUAUUUUUUUUUCUAAUUUAACUUUUAUGCUAAUUUUUUUCCUUUAUUUUAUUCUUGUUGCAAUAUUGUGGGGUGGCUAUUACAUGUAGUGGUAUGAUUUUUAUUUAUUUAUUUUGGACAUAUUAUUAAUAGGGAUGGAUGGCAACGAGAUGGGUCAUCCUAUUUCAAUCAUGUCCCAUUUAUUUAAAAUAAUUUUUAUCCCUACCCUAUUAAAAAAAAAAUGGCAUGGGGUGAGGCUGAUAUGCAAAUUUCCUAUAUCCAUCUUAUCUGUCUUGUUUAAUUUUUUCUGCAAGAAUUUUUUUUUAAAAAAAUAUUAAUUUUUUAAUUACAUUAAAGUAAAUAAUUAAAAUAUUAUAAUUUUUUUUAUUGAGAAGUAAUUUAUUAUAUAUAUAUAUAUAUAUACACACACACAUAUAUAUUAAAAAUAAAAAUAAAAUAUAAAUUAAAUUAAUUUUUAAAAUUAAUUUUAUAUUUAAUCAGGCAGACACGAGACAAGAGAAGACAUGAAUAUAUAUUUUGAUGCAGGAAUGAUUUUGGAUGGAUUAAAGGAAUGAUCUUGCUCUAGCUAUAGUGGUAAUAUCGUUAGGAGUAACAAAGUUUAAUAUGAUUUGUUAAUAUAAUUUGAACUUAAGAUGUUUUUUCACAGGUUUAGAUCAAGUAUAAGCAAAUUUGAGUCAAAUUCAUGUCGACUUAUAUAAUCCAUUUAAUAAAUAGACGGUUUUUGGGUCAAUCUGUGUAACAUAAAUAUAAUUUGAAUUAACCCAAUUAAUAAUCUUAUUGAUUAACUUUAAACUAUUUAAUCUAUAUUUGACUCAUUUUAAAUUUGUUCUUAAAUAGAUAGGUCAAUUAGUCAUGAAGUUAAAAUAAAAUAAUUAUUCAUGUCAGGUUUGUAUUGACCUUUGUAAUAAAAUAACGAGGCUUUAAUUUUUCUAAUGAAUUAAUUAUUUUGGGAAAGUAAUUUUACUUGCAUAUAAUUAGUUCAUUAUUUGUUUAUUUUAAAAUUUAUUUUAAGAUAAAAAGAAGAAGAAGAAGA
RNAcentral lists this long non-coding RNA (13786 nucleotides) under Vitis vinifera (wine grape). RNAcentral describes it as "long non-coding RNA (VVIN_LNC005545)". Lineage: Eukaryota; Viridiplantae; Streptophyta; Magnoliopsida; Vitales; Vitaceae. The record is from RNAcentral.